This 1185-nucleotide long non-coding RNA is filed under the name Musa acuminata (dwarf banana). Its description in RNAcentral is "long non-coding RNA (MACU_LNC008867)". The record is from RNAcentral. Lineage: Eukaryota; Viridiplantae; Streptophyta; Magnoliopsida; Zingiberales; Musaceae.
ACCAGGCAAGUCACUACUAGAGCUAGAGCGCCAACGGCACAAUAAUAUCUCUCCACGAAGUAAAGUCAAUAACAGAAGCAUUAACACCAAUAACAGAAUGAUACUUUCCACUUGCGGCUUCCUUUGGUACUGCUUACUUACCUGCACCUAAUCCUUGCAAGAGGGAGUCCCCACUACUAGGAAAACACGGAAUUCAUUUCAUUAUAAUAUAAUAUAGAAGAGCAACCGAGCAUACAAGAAACUACAGUCGGUUAUCCAUUAAGAUGUAAUUAAAGUAUCUGCAACGCGCGCAACUCUAAAUCAGUUGUUGGUUCCUCCGCAUAAGGAUCAGUUGUUGGUUCUUACGCGUAAGGAUAAGGAUCAAGUUGGCUAUGUUGCUUGUUUAGGAGAAUAUUGCUAGAGCAGUUGUCUUGGACCACUACUAGUUGGGGCAAUAACUACACUUUCUCCUUGUUGUCUUCCCCGACCCGACCCAAGAGUAAGCUAAUGCACCAGCACCCCGAACUCGGACAGCUUAUGAAUCCAAAAUCUUAGAAUUGAUGCAGCCCGAGUUGCUUGCGAUCUCCUGCCUAAGGGGGGGAAUGUUUUCUCGUAAGUAUAAGUUCUGUGUUGUGUAAUUCGGGCUGAAAGACAAUCAUUCCACAUAUUCCACAUAUUUUCUAUAUUUCCUCCUGGCCUGGAAAGCGGAAAGGGGGGAACUCUCCAACUAUGAAGGGGUAAAAAAGCAUCUUCUGUAGCUCAGGUAUAUACAGAUGCACUUUCGCCAAAACCUUGACUUCCCGCCUCAAAGCUAGGAAUUGACUCAGAUCUUGCCUCUGCCCUUAUAAUUAAAGGUAGACUCACUACUUCCCGAAUUAUGUAUUAGGCCUUAUCCAAGUUUCAUCAGUUCUAUUAUAUUAUUAAGAUAUAAUUUAGAUAGGCCAAGCUACUCCUCAACAAGCUACUCAGAAACUAUUGAAUACAUACGUUCGAACUACACUCCCUCCCUUAACAUCUAUUUCUUAACUCUUUUAUGAAUUCUUGUUUUAGUGACAGGGUUCAAUGAUGAGUCACUCGUUAGCACUUCGGUUGGUUCAGAGCACCACCACCCACUUCCUGGCUUGUUGGCUUUUGAAGAUCUUUCUCCAGGUCUUGCUUCUUCUGCAUCAUCUGAUCCAGCCCCAUCGUAGGCUUAGCACCCGACAC